This is a long non-coding RNA of Papaver somniferum (opium poppy), 3712 nucleotides long. RefSeq lists it as uncharacterized. The transcript has 7 exons. The record is from RefSeq and is a predicted model, not a curated record. Lineage: Eukaryota; Viridiplantae; Streptophyta; Magnoliopsida; Ranunculales; Papaveraceae.
UCUAUAGCUGGAUGGUUAUGAGAAUGCUACAACUCCAUAAAAAUUUGGAUCUUUGCAGACGAGAAAUAAUCAAAGAUUUCUUCUUUGACUUUUCUAUCUAGCACAGGACCAAAAAAAACAAAACCUUUCAUUAUUUUUCCCUUCAAUCUGAAAUGAUCAAUUUCGAAUGCACGUACAAACGUUUAUGUCGAUGCCUUAGCUUAGGUCUAGCAAUACCUGAGAAAUCCUCUUUUUUUCUCCGGCCUUGAGUCAACGGUAUAGUAACUAUUCCUCGUCUCUCUCCUCGAAAUCCCUUCUUUCUGGAUUUUUUUUUCUUAUGUGGUUUUUCUCAAUCAAUCUCUCUGUAGAUGGUCAUUGUCUCGUCUGAUUUGAAAACCCCCAUUUUGAUGAGUUUGUGCAGUAAGUGUUUUCUUCCAAAUUCUGAUUUGUAUUCUUAUUUUUCAUUGAAAGAGUAGAGCAUUUUCGUCAUUGUCUCCAUUCGGGUUGGAUUCAUGGUCAUUUUUUCCCAUUUUCUCAAGAAAAAAUUAGGGAUUUGGUCUUAGAACAAUGGGGUUUUGUUUAGUAUGGAAAACUGAAAUUAAACAUUGGGAAUUAUUGCUUACCAAGCAGAGCUGCAAGGAAUAAAGGAAUACAAGCAAGGGAAAAUUAAAGCUUUAUCUAUUGGCUCAAAUGAGCAUGAGUCUUACUUGAUUCAUGAGAUCGAAGAAAGAAUAUAGAGUUGCAUUGGCAAUUUUUUUGAGAAGUAUCAAUGAGAACCUUGGCAAUCUGACCCUGAUUAAAUGUCAGAAUCUAGCUUCGAAAAUCCAGAAUAUAGGUAGAUUAUGCAGCUUUAGAUCCAUGUGGAUGGAUCAUUCAAAGCAUGUGUUUCGAUGUAAUGAAGGGUAAUGCCGACUCUAUUCCAUCUUCCACCAUGGGAUGGGGAUUAUGGGGGCUGGAAGCUGGAGAAAACACGCCGGUAUGUUAGUGACUCUUACGGUGCUUUCUCAUUUUCACAGACUCCACCUCCACCACCAUGACCAGCUCCAGAGCCAAUACCAAAAUCCUCAACUCCGCCACCGCCUACCUAGGAUGUGGAAUUAGUAGGGCUGCUGAAGGUGGUUGAAGCUAGGUGCUGGAAUUGGGGGGGACAAGUGAUGAACUAGGAAUUGGAGGUGGUGAACUGUCGGUGCAGAUGGUGGUUGUGGCGUUGUUGGAGUUGGUUUAGAAAUGAGGUUUGGUUGUAAUUGGUGCUGGAGGAGGUGUAGGUGAUGGAAUUGGAGGCAGUGGCUAGGAAGUGAUGGCAGAGGUAUAUGUGAUGCUGGCAAUUGGUUGAAUUGGUAGAAUUUGGAAGUGAUUCUUGGAUGUGCUUGAAAUUGUUGCAUGUUCUGGGUUGGAUUAGCUCUUGCGUUGUUUGAUUGUAAUUGGUGGGGCCUGGAGCUGGUGGAUGUGUAAGUGGUGGGAUUGAUAAAGUUGGUGGAUUAGGGUGUGUGGGUGAAGUUAGAAGUGGUGCUGGUUGUGGAAUUGGAGUUGGAGGCGAUGUUGUUGGUGGACUUGGUGGUGGCCAAGGAGUGGGAGGUGAUGCUGUCAAGCCUGAAAGCCCUCUGUGGUGGUGGUGGAAUUGGUGGAGGUGGAGGUGGUGGACGAGAGGUGGAGGAGGUGCUUGUGGUGGGAUUGGAUUAUGGUAGUAGUAGUACAGAACUUGGUGGUGGAGGUGGAUUUGUAGGAGAAGGUGGUGAAGAUUUUUGGCAGGUGGAGGUAUGCUGGUGGAGGUAGUGGGGGUCCCUGGUUGGUGGAAGUGCAGCUUUUGGAGGGAAAUUGAAGACAAGCUUAAUGAUGCGUCGCUUCGGUUUCUGGAGGAACACCCUGAUGAUAAAAAGAAAGACUAGGGGGAGUGUAGUGAACAACAGCCAGCAGAUGCAUUAGUGGCUUCAGCCACUGCGGAUGGUGGUUCUCAAAAUCUUCUGUAGCUCCAAAAAAGCCAGAGAAGUUGACAAGGAAGAAGUCUCUCUUAAGAUAUCGAUGGAAACUAUGAUCAGACAGUUUGUGAAGUAUGUGGUAGUGGAAGAAGAAGAAGAAGAACCCGAGGUUUCCACACAAUGCAGUCAUAUGCGUGGCAAGCGUGCCUUACCCGGAGGAGCGGCCAAGAUUUUGAGAAUUGAUUGGUCAAGGAUCAUGCUGGUGGAGCCAGUAAAUGGACUUAAAAUGAACGGCAUGUUUGAUGUAGAUUAUGCAUCCUUAGCUCGAUAUAAAUGGAUCAUCCAAAGAUUCUUUUAUAUGGAAUGGAGGUAGCGCUGACUCUAUUGCAUCAUUCUCUUUCGCCUUGGGCUGGAACCUGGAACUGUCGAUUAUUUCAUGGAUUUCACAAGACUUGUUGUUGACAGUGUGUCGGAGGUGGUUGACUACUGGGGUUGCAGUAUCUGCUCUACCAACUGGUGUGUUUAAGCUAAGUAUGCACUGGAUUGCCCCAUUCCAAGGCCUACUGUAUACAUGAAAAUCAAAAAAGUAGCUUAUCAAAGGGAAUGGUCUGACAAGGAGUAGCUCACCAUGUUUCAUCUAUGCGUCCGUAUGGUCUUUUUGACAUUGCUGUUGUUUUGGUGGCGAUCUCUAUGACCGUCUCUGACGAGUUGGAUUACAUAGGGAUAUAACACUACUAUGAACAGGUUCCACAUCUCUCUAACCUAUAUAGAGUGUAAAUCUACAGUUUCUAAAUAUCUCCGACCUAUAUAGAGGGUAAAUCUGAAGGAGCCUUGCAUUUCAUUUUAACAUAUAAAGUUAAAAUUUUCAGUAUGUACAAGUCUUAGGUCAACUCUUAUGGAUGUCAAAUUGAAGUUUCAACUUUCCAUCUACAUCAGCUUGAAUUUGAAGCUAGUUCUUAUGGUUUUACUUGAUUCAGUAAAUUUCUCCAUCUCAGAUUUCUCUGGGUCAAAUGGUUGGGCGCAACAGUGUAAUUUCUGUGUGCCCAUUUAGAGCAGAGAACUUGAUUCAACUUUCACUUCAAGCAUUGCUUGAUCCACAACCUAAUAUUGGUUUGGGUAACGGUUUUCCAACUUGAAUAUUGAAAUCGGAGGCUUUCUUAUGGUCCUCCAACUUUGACAGUCAAGUUGCAAAGGUGUUGCCUGAAGUCAUCAUUCAAGCUGUUGAUCAAGCAAAUGUUUGAACCGAAGGUUGAAGCAAGUUUGAGGCACCAAAUGGUUAGUGGACAUUAUUCAUUAUGCCCAACAACUGGGCUAAGGUGUGCCAAACCAUUGGGCGAAAUUAAGUUGAUUCAACUAAAACUAGUAAAAUUAGUCUCCUGUUCAAGCUGGCGUGGAUGUGAAGUUAACUUUGAUGACCAUAAGAGUUUGCCUUAUGGUAAGCUAGGAUGAAACUUUCGAUGAGCCACACGUCUUUUGCAUGUUAACCUACUGCAUUGGUGCUUGGCCUGGUGGUAAUCCUGACAUGUUAGAGGUUGCAAUAUCUGCUCUACCAACUGGUGUUUUUAAGUUAAGUAUGCACUGGAUUGCAGUUCCCCGUUCCAAGGCCUACUGUAUACAUGAAAAAUCAAAAAAGGUUCUUUCUGUCUCCACUUUCUCAAAUUGGAUGUGCUCACUAGCUUUGGGGAUUUUACAGGAAUAAAAUAUAUGAUUCGUGGAAAAAAAUGUAACUUAAUUCUCUAAAUUGGAAGCAGUUAUUGAGAACCACCAAUAACCGGCUCGCACACUAAUAAUUGAUCUCCUAUAAUAAUUCAGCAUCU